This 441-nucleotide ribosomal RNA is filed under the name uncultured bacterium. RNAcentral's name for it is "SSU rRNA". It matches the Rfam family "Bacterial small subunit ribosomal RNA", at positions 369 to 808 of the family's 1533-position model. The record is from RNAcentral.
UCAUGGGCGAUGGCCUGAACCAGCCAGUAGCGUGAAGGAUGACUGCCCUAUGGGUUGUAAACUUCUUUUAUAAAGGAAUAAAGUCGGGUAUGCAUACCCGUUUGCAUGUACUUUAUGAAUAAGGAUCGGCUAACUCCGUGCCAGCAGCCGCGGUAAUACGGAGGAUCCGAGCGUUAUCCGGAUUUAUUGGGUUUAAAGGGAGCGUAGAUGGAUGUUUAAGUCAGUUGUGAAAGUUUGCGGCUCAACCGUAAAAUUGCAGUUGAUACUGGAUGUCUUGAGUGCAGUUGAGGCAGGCGGAAUUCGUGGUGUAGCGGUGAAAUGCUUAGAUAUCACGAAGAACUCCGAUUGCGAAGGCAGCCUGCUAAGCUGCAACUGACAUUGAGGCUCGAAAGUGUGGGUAUCAAACAGGAUUAGAUACCCUGGUAGUCCAAGGGCGAAUUC